AAAUUGAAGAGUUUGAUCAUGGCUCAGAUUGAACGCUGGCGGCAGGCCUAACACAUGCAAGUCGAGCGGAAACGACAACAUUGAAUCUUCGGAGGAUUUGUUGGGCGUCGAGCGGCGGACGGGUGAGUAAUGCCUAGGAAAUUGCCUUGAUGUGGGGGAUAACCAUUGGAAACGAUGGCUAAUACCGCAUAAUGCCUACGGGCCAAAGAGGGGGACCUUCGGGCCUCUCGCGUCAAGAUAUGCCUAGGUGGGAUUAGCUAGUUGGUGAGGUAAUGGCUCACCAAGGCGACGAUCCCUAGCUGGUCUGAGAGGAUGAUCAGCCACACUGGAACUGAGACACGGUCCAGACUCCUACGGGAGGCAGCAGUGGGGAAUAUUGCACAAUGGGCGAAAGCCUGAUGCAGCCAUGCCGCGUGUAUGAAGAAGGCCUUCGGGUUGUAAAGUACUUUCAGUUGUGAGGAAGGGUGUGUAGUUAAUAGCUGCGCAUCUUGACGUUAGCAACAGAAGAA
RNAcentral lists this ribosomal RNA (509 nucleotides) under Vibrio splendidus. RNAcentral describes it as "bacterial SSU rRNA". It matches the Rfam family "Bacterial small subunit ribosomal RNA", at positions 1 to 489 of the family's 1533-position model. The record is from RNAcentral. Lineage: Bacteria; Pseudomonadati; Pseudomonadota; Gammaproteobacteria; Vibrionales; Vibrionaceae.